UAGGGAAUCUUCCGCAAUGGGCGAAAGCCUGACGGAGCAACGCCGCGUGAGUGAAGAAGGAUUUCGGUUCGUAAAGCUCUGUUGUUAGGGAAGAAUGGUUGUGUAGUAACUAUACACAGUAGAGACGGUACCUAACCAGAAAGCCACGGCUAACUACGUGCCAGCAGCCGCGGUAAUACGUAGGUGGCAAGCGUUGUCCGGAAUUAUUGGGCGUAAAGCGCGCGCAGGUGGUUUAAUAAGUCUGAUGUGAAAGCCCACGGCUCAACCGUGGAGGGUCAUUGGAAACUGUUAAACUUGAGUGCAGGAGAGAAAAGUGGAAUUCCUAGUGUAGCGGUGAAAUGCGUAGAGAUUAGGAGGAACACCAGCGGCGAAGGCGGCUUUUUGGCCUGUAACUGACACUGAGGCGCGAAAGCGUGGGGAGCAAACAGGAUUAGAUACCCUGGUAGUCCACGCCGUAAACGAUGAGUGCUAAGUGUUGGUCUCAUAAGAGAUCAGUGCUGCAGCUAACGCAUUAAGCACUCCGCCUGGGGAGUACGACCGCAAGGUUG
This 548-nucleotide ribosomal RNA is filed under the name uncultured bacterium. RNAcentral's name for it is "bacterial SSU rRNA". It matches the Rfam family "Bacterial small subunit ribosomal RNA", at positions 355 to 896 of the family's 1533-position model. The record is from RNAcentral.